RNAcentral lists this long non-coding RNA (398 nucleotides) under Pelobates cultripes (western spadefoot toad). Lineage: Eukaryota; Metazoa; Chordata; Amphibia; Anura; Pelobatidae. The record is from RNAcentral.
UUUAGCUAAAUAAAGCAGUUUUAGUGUAUAGAUCAUUCCCCUGCAAUUUCACUGCUCAAUUCACUGUCAUUUAGGAGUUAAAUCACUUUGUUUCCGUUUAUGCAGCUCUAGCCACACCUCCCCUGGCUAUGAUUGACAGAGCCUGCAUGAAAAAAAAAAACUGGUUUCCCUUUCAAACAGAUGUAAUUUACCUUAAAUAAUUGUAUCUCAAUCUCUAAAUUGAACUUUAAUCCCAUACAGGAGGCUCUUGCAGGGUCUAGCAAGCUAUUAACAUAGCAGGGGAUAAGAAAAUCUUAAUUAAACAGAACUUGCAAUAAAGAAAGCCUAAAUAGGGCUCUCUUUACAGGAAGUGUUUAUGGAAGGCUGUGCAAGUCACAUGCAGGGAGGUGUGACUAGGG